Molecule: ribosomal RNA, 465 nt
Filed under: uncultured bacterium
Lineage: Bacteria
Description: partial 16S ribosomal RNA
Rfam family: Bacterial small subunit ribosomal RNA
Source: RNAcentral
CCUACGGGAGGUAGCAGUAGGGAAUCUUCCACAAUGGGCGAAAGCCUGAUGGAGCAACGCCGCGUGGGUGAAGAAGGUCUUCGGAUCGUAAAACCCUGUUGUUAGAGAAGAAAGUGCGUGAGAGUAACUGUUCACGUUUCGACGGUAUCUAACCAGAAAGCCACGGCUAACUACGUGCCAGCAGCCGCGGUAAUACGUAGGUGGCAAGCGUUAUCCGGAUUUAUUGGGCGUAAAGGGAACGCAGGCGGUCUUUUAAGUCUGAUGGGAAAGCCUUCGGCUUAACCGGAGUAGUGCAUUGGAAACUGGGAGACUUGAGUGCAGAAGAGGAGAGUGGAACUCCAUGUGUAGCGGUGAAAUGCGUAGAUAUAUGGAAGAACACCAGUGGCGAAAGCGGCUCUCUGGUCUGUAACUGACGCUGAGGUUCGAAAGCGUGGGUAGCAAACAGGAUUAGAUACCCCAGUAGUC